This 497-nucleotide ribosomal RNA is filed under the name uncultured bacterium. Its description in RNAcentral is "partial 16S ribosomal RNA". It matches the Rfam family "Bacterial small subunit ribosomal RNA", at positions 28 to 507 of the family's 1533-position model. The record is from RNAcentral.
GAUGAACGCUGGCGGCGUGCCUAAUACAUGCAAGUCGAGCGAACAGACGAGGAGCUUGCUCCUCUGACGUUAGCGGCGGACGGGUGAGUAACACGUGGAUAACCUACCUAUAAGACUGGGAUAACUUCGGGAAACCGGAGCUAAUACCGGAUAAUAUAUUGAACCGCAUGGUUCAAUAGUGAAAGACGGUUUUGCUGUCACUUAUAGAUGGAUCCGCGCCGCAUUAGCUAGUUGGUAAGGUAACGGCUUACCAAGGCGACGAUGCGUAGCCGACCUGAGAGGGUGAUCGGCCACACUGGAACUGAGACACGGUCCAGAGUCAUACGGGAGGCAGCAGUAGGGAAUCUUCCGCAAUGGGCGAAAGCCUGACGGAGAAACGCCGCGUGAGUGAUGAAGGUCUUCGGAUCGUAAAACUCGGUUAUUAGGGAAGAACAAAUGUGUAAGUAACUAUGCACGUCUUGACGGUACCUAAUCAGAAAGCCACGGCUAACUACGUG